AACAGAAACAUCCAAUCAAUAGUUAUGAUUGCACUAAGCGGUUGCUAUGUGGAUGUUUUUUUAUGUUCGACAGCUCAGCAAAGUCUGCGGAUCUGGUUAUGUUCCUGUACGAGACAGAUGACGAAGCGGUUGGACUGACUGACCAGUUGGGGCGAAAAUUUUUGUGGGAAGGACGUAAGAGAAAGUUGACAUUCAGGAACCUUCACCUUGCUGAGUGCAUCAUAAAUGCAAUGCAGAGCUGCCAUAAAUGUGAAGACUUCAAGGUAGAAACCAUGGUCACGGAUUAACUUCGCCACGCACCUGCCUGACAUCAGUCAUCUCAAAUGGACCAUUCUGCACCACAGGAGAGAGAGAGAUGUGAACU
Long non-coding RNA from Ixodes scapularis (black-legged tick), 364 nucleotides. RefSeq lists it as uncharacterized. The transcript is spliced from 3 exons. NCBI's taxonomy places the organism in Eukaryota, Metazoa, Arthropoda, Arachnida, Ixodida, Ixodidae. The record is from RefSeq and is a predicted model, not a curated record.